UACGAAGGGGGCGAGCGUUGUUCGGAUUUACUGGGCGUAAAGGGCGCGUAGGCGGCCUUCCUUGUCGCGUGUGAAAGCCCCGGGCUCAACCUGGGAAUUGCGCGCGAAACGGGCGGGCUUGAGUUCGGGAGAGGAGCGUGGAAUUCCCAGUGUAGAGGUGAAAUUCGUAGAUAUUGGGAAGAACGCCGGUGGCGAAGGCGACGCUCUGGACCGAGACUGACGCUGAGGCGCGAAAGCGUGGGGAGCAAACAGG
RNAcentral lists this ribosomal RNA (253 nucleotides) under uncultured bacterium. Its description in RNAcentral is "partial 16S ribosomal RNA". It matches the Rfam family "Bacterial small subunit ribosomal RNA", at positions 524 to 776 of the family's 1533-position model. The record is from RNAcentral.